Molecule: ribosomal RNA, 1057 nt
Filed under: Pseudomonas sp.
Lineage: Bacteria; Pseudomonadati; Pseudomonadota; Gammaproteobacteria; Pseudomonadales; Pseudomonadaceae
Also listed under: 1 other name
Description: bacterial SSU rRNA
Rfam family: Bacterial small subunit ribosomal RNA
Source: RNAcentral
GCAGGCUACCAUGCAAGUCGAGCGGUAGAGAGAAGCUUGCUUCUCUUGAGAGCGGCGGACGGGUGAGUAAUGCCUAGGAAUCUGCCUGGUAGUGGGGGAUAACGUUCGGAAACGGACGCUAAUACCGCAUACGUCCUACGGGAGAAAGCAGGGGACCUUCGGGCCUUGCGCUAUCAGAUGAGCCUAGGUCGGAUUAGCUAGUUGGUGAGGUAAUGGCUCACCAAGGCGACGAUCCGUAACUGGUCUGAGAGGAUGAUCAGUCACACUGGAACUGAGACACGGUCCAGACUCCUACGGGAGGCAGCAGUGGGGAAUAUUGGACAAUGGGCGAAAGCCUGAUCCAGCCAUGCCGCGUGUGUGAAGAAGGUCUUCGGAUUGUAAAGCACUUUAAGUUGGGAGGAAGGGUUGUAGAUUAAUACUCUGCAAUUUUGACGUUACCGACAGAAUAAGCACCGGCUAACUCUGUGCCAGCAGCCGCGGUAAUACAGAGGGUGCAAGCGUUAAUCGGAAUUACUGGGCGUAAAGCGCGCGUAGGUGGUUUGUUAAGUUGGAUGUGAAAUCCCCGGGCUCAACCUGGGAACUGCAUUCAAAACUGACUGACUAGAGUAUGGUAGAGGGUGGUGGAAUUUCCUGUGUAGCGGUGAAAUGCGUAGAUAUAGGAAGGAACACCAGUGGCGAAGGCGACCACCUGGACUAAUACUGACACUGAGGUGCGAAAGCGUGGGGAGCAAACAGGAUUAGAUACCCUGGUAGUCCACGCCGUAAACGAUGUCAACUAGCCGUUGGAAGCCUUGAGCUUUUAGUGGCGCAGCUAACGCAUUAAGUUGACCGCCUGGGGAGUACGGCCGCAAGGUUAAAACUCAAAUGAAUUGACGGGGGCCCGCACAAGCGGUGGAGCAUGUGGUUUAAUUCGAAGCAACGCGAAGAACCUUACCAGGCCUUGACAUCCAAUGAACUUUCUAGAGAUAGAUUGGUGCUUUCGGGAACAUUGAGACAGGUGCUGCAUGCUGUCGUCAGCUCGUGUCGUGAGAUGUUGGUAGUCCCGUACGAGCGCAAC